This 484-nucleotide ribosomal RNA is filed under the name uncultured bacterium. RNAcentral describes it as "partial 16S ribosomal RNA". It matches the Rfam family "Bacterial small subunit ribosomal RNA", at positions 28 to 523 of the family's 1533-position model. The record is from RNAcentral.
GAUGAACGCUGGCGGCGUGCUUAACACAUGCAAGUCGAACGGUGAAGCAGGAGCUUGCUCUUGUGGAUCAGUGGCGAACGGGUGAGUAACACGUGAGCAACCUGCCCCUGACUCUGCGAUAAGCGCUGGAAACGGCGUCUAAUACUGGAUAUGUGAUGUGCCCACAUGGUCUGCAUCUGGAAAGAAUUUCGGUUGGGGAUGGGCUCGCGGCCUAUCAGCUUGUUGGUGUGGUAAUGUCUCGCCAAGGCUUCGGCGGGUAGCCGGCCUGAGUGGGUGACCGGACACACUGGGACUGGGACACGGCCCAGACUCAUACGGGAGGGAGCAGUGGGGAAUAUUGCACAAUGGGCGGAAGCCUGAUGCAGCAACGCCGCGUGAGGGAUGACGGCCUUCGGGUUGUAAACCUCUGUUAGCAGGGAUGAAGCGAAAGUGACGGUACCUGCAGAAAAAGCACCGGCUAACUACGUGCCAGCCGCCGCAGUAA